Molecule: long non-coding RNA, 3141 nt
Organism: Balaenoptera ricei (Rice's whale)
Lineage: Eukaryota; Metazoa; Chordata; Mammalia; Artiodactyla; Balaenopteridae
Exons: 4
Source: RefSeq, a predicted model, not a curated record
AGCGCGGCGGGCCGACCCGACCUGCCGAAAGGGCCUGAGGCGGGGGGCGCCCGGGUCCCAGGGCCCUGGGGAAGGACCCCCAGCCGCAGGCCGCCCCAAGUGCAAAGCAUUGACACGGCCCAGAGAGGAGAGGGGGCGCCCUCCUUCUCCCGCGCCCGGCGGCCCGGCAGCUCUGGCCCGCGCCCCAGCUUGGCCUCCGACCCCGCUCCCGGCCGUGGCGCCGCCCGGGCCCCUGCACUCCGGAGGGAGGCUGCGGGUGCUGGAAAGAGAGGCCGGUGGGCGGGCGAGUCGGGAGGCGCUGGCUGCCGAGGUCCCGGAGCGGAACCCAGGUGGCGGGAGCUGGUGAGAUUCUGGGAAUUGGAAGAACCCAAACAAUCUGCCUUGGAUGACACAGAGAGCCAGGUUCAUACAGGUGAGAAGAGAAGAAUCAUUUUGCAGCUAGGCUAACGCUUCAGGAUGCUUGGCCUGCUUCUGAGGGUGGAGAGGAAGUUUACACACAGCCCUCUGUCAUAGGAUUCCUAUGGUAAGGCUCAGAAUACACUGCAAGACAAACAGUAUCCUCGGAAACCUAACAACUCCUUGAAUGGAAAAACGUCAUGGAACUGUAUCUCUCAAGACAGGCCCUUCCAAAGAAGUUGUUCGGCAGAGACUUGGCCUCAGGGCCCGCGAGGAGCGAGAUGAAAACCAGCACAGUUUGGACAGUGCGGGACCCCCACUGGAGCUGGGGUACCUGGGGAUGCUUUCCAUCGGGCGUGGAGGUUGAGGUGGGUGGAGGACAGCCCACAUUAGGGAAGGUGAGGGGCAGGGAGGUCUGAGCACAGAAAUGAAAGCAAGGAUGUUCCUCACGUGGGGCUGUGAGUCAACUCCACUGGAGCAGGAAGUCUCUCAUGAAGAAUAACAGCUCACAUAAUUUCACAGAAUCACUGCAUAUUUUCACACAGUUAUUUCACUUUGAUUCUAGGAUCACAGCAAUUUGUACCGUAGGCAGGACAGACACUGUCGACUCCAUUUUACAGAUGAGGAUACUGAGGGUCAGGGAGGGUCUAUGACUUGCCUCAGUCACCUUAGUUUCUUGCCUCACAGGGUAGCUGUGGAACCAUCUGUGGAGGUCCUCAGUGAAUAGACCAACACACUUCAGAAAUAUCAUCGUGGCUGCCUGCGGUGGGCACAGAAGUGGCAUCAAAGCGUGGACUGGUGAUCCACCUUGCUGAAAGCUUGGCUAGUGCUUUGCUUGGGUCCCUUGUCCUACAGGGACCUCCUUGACUUCUGGCCUCAUUUCCUGGCCUGGCAGCCCACGGGGGAGGGGGUGGGGCUCAGCUUGGUAUCACUUGAAUUUAUCACACAAGGUGUGUUUGGGGCUUGUUCUGCACCUGAAACAGUGGGGUGCCCGGGAACUGUCAUUUCCUGCCUUGACAUGUCCAAGUAUUUGUUUAGCCCUGGCUGGUGACAUUGACUAGCAGCCCAGGCAUGGAAACAAAGGCGGAUGUAGGGAAAAGUUGAGCCGCUGCAGGAACACACACGGGAGAGCACUGAGGCGUAGAAACCUUCACAAUGAAAAUAAUCCCUUACACUCACACUGCCUUACCCUUUACAAGGUGCUUUCACAGGGCUUUCUCCCCUUAAUCCUCACAACACCCCUAGGGAGGAAGGCAAGGCAACUAUUACUAGUCCCCGUUUCACAGCUGAUGAAAUAAGUGCAGGGAGUUAAGUGGGGGGCAGAGCGUAGACCGGGGAACCCCAUCCUGUGCUCCACACCUGUGCUACUCAAAGUGCGGGCCCCCAACCAGCAGCAGCAGGAAGCCCGUUAGAAAUGGAGCCUCUCAGGCCCCACCCGAGAGAUGAAUGAAUCAGGAUCUGCGUUGAAGUCGGAUCCCCAGGGGAUUCGUGUGCGCAAUAAAGCUGGAGACUGCUGCUGACACCGCCCGCCCCUCCCCUUGUCCUGUCCCACCAAACAUUCUUAGAGUAUAUCUGCUUCUAUCUACUCAUUUCAAGACAAGGAAAUUGGUCCAGGGAGGGGACGGGUCCUGGCCCCUGACGGCAGCAGGAAUAGACAGAACCUUGAUCUUGCAAAUCAGUCCUGGGUCCCUUACAUCCAGCUGACAUUCAACUGGUAUCUCCUUUGCCUUUCCAUCCCCCUCCACACCCCACAGUUCAACCCUCAGACCACCCUCAUCUGCCAGUCACUCAGCCUCCCCCCUUGGUUCCAGCCUUGUGCUAAGUGUUGACACAAGUUCUAAGGCCCGGGGUUAACCCUCUAUGAAAGCAAACAGAGAAGUUCAUACCUCGUGCUAAGUCUAGGAGCCGAGUAGAAGUGUGUGUGUGUGUGUGUGUGUGUGUGUGUGUGUGUGUGUGUGUGUUUUAGGUGGGGAGGGCCAAUGCUUGGGUUAUCUCUGCCCUUUCCCCUCCAGCCUUCUUGCCUAUAGGAGAAGGCUGGGGAACUCUUGCUUGCCUGUGAAGGAGAUUCUGCUUAGGCUUUGUAAAAUGCCCACUUCAUUAGUUAAGUGUGAAAAUGUCCAAAAAACUGUGUUAAUCUGCUUAUGAUUUCCCCUCCACUCACUGGUCACACUCUGUGCCAAGUCUGGCACCUGGGUAAAGUGAUUCGUAUGCCUUGGCUGGAGCUUGGGGCCAGGAUUUCCCCUCCUUUUCCUCCGCUUCUACUCCACUGGGGCCAAUCAGGAUGUUAUUCAUUUCCCUAGUUGAGAAGCAAGUUCAAAAAGGCCAGCAGAGCCUCCUCUACCCCUUCCCUGUGUAAGCAAUGCCAAUCCCUCCCACGAGGAGGAAGCGACAUAUUUUGUUUCUGCUACACUCACGCAAGGAGCAGGUUUACAGAGUUAGCCCAGAAUGAGUGUGCCCGUGUGUUUGCUGAAACCUAUCUUUUUAUCUUUGGACCUGGGGUACACAGUGAAUUAGAGGAAGGGCAGAGCCAUCCAUAAGGGGAGAGAGAGAGAGAGAGAGAGAGAGAGAGAGAAAAGCCAAGGCGCCAAGAGGCCCUUAGGAGGGGCCUGGACACCUCCUGUUACCAUGUCAUACAGACACGGCCCUGUCAUCUAACCUUGAGUUAGAGCUAACAGCUGAACGGAAGAAUGAAUUUCUCAUUGUGCUUCAUUUGAGUUUUAGAAAUGCCUCCAGGGUAGAAAAGUU